CCGGACUGACUGCUAUCGGAUUGGUACUAAGCCAUGCGAGUCAUUGUAGCAAUACAAGGCGGACGGCUCAGUAACACGUAGUCAACCUAACCUAUGGACGUGGAUAACCUCGGGAAACUGAGAAUAAACCGCGAUAGAUCAUUAUGCCUGGAAUGGCUUAUGGUUCAAACAAUUUAUUGCCGUAGGAUGGGACUGCGGCCUAUCAGCUUGUUGGUGAGGUAAUGGCCCACCAAGGCUAUAACAGGUACGGGCUCUGAGAGGAGAAGCCCGGAGAUGGGUACUGAGACACGGACCCAGGCCCUAUGGGGCGCAGCAGGCGAGAAACCUUAGCAAUGUGCGAAAGCACGACUAGGUUAAUCCGAGUGAUUCCUGUUGAAGGAAUCUUUUGUCAGUCGUAAAACCACAGACGAAUAAGGGGUGGGCAAGUCUGGUGUCAGCCGCCGCGGUAAUACCAGCACCUCGAGUGGUCAGGAGGUUUAUUGGGCCUAAAGCAUCCGUAGCCGGCUUUGCAAGUCUCCGGUUAAAUCCAGCUGCUCAACAGAUGGGCUGCCGGAGAUACUACACAGCUAGGGAGCGGGAGAGGCAGACGGUAUUCUGUGGGUAGGGGUAAAAUCCAUUGAUCCAUAGAGGACCACCAGUGGCGAAGGCGGUCUGCCAGAACGCGUUCGACGGUGAGGGAUGAAAGCUGGGGGAGCAAACCGGAUUAGAUACCCGGGUAGUCCCAGCUGUAAACGAUGCAAACUCGGUGAUGCAUUGGCUUAUGGCCAAUGCAGUGCCGCAGGGAAGCCGUUAAGUUUGCCGCCUGGGAAGUACGGACGCAAGUCUGAAACUUAAAGGAAUUGGCGGGGGAGCACCACAAGGGGUGAAGCCUGCGGUUCAAUUGGAUUCAACGCCGG
This 896-nucleotide ribosomal RNA is filed under the name uncultured archaeon. RNAcentral describes it as "bacterial SSU rRNA". It matches the Rfam family "Archaeal small subunit ribosomal RNA", at positions 17 to 921 of the family's 1478-position model. The record is from RNAcentral.